RNAcentral lists this ribosomal RNA (254 nucleotides) under uncultured bacterium. RNAcentral's name for it is "partial 16S ribosomal RNA". It matches the Rfam family "Bacterial small subunit ribosomal RNA", at positions 524 to 777 of the family's 1533-position model. The record is from RNAcentral.
UAUGAAGGGGGCUAGCGUUGUUCGGAAUUACUGGGCGUAAAGCGCACGUAGGCGGAUUUGUUAGUCAGGGGUGAAAUCCCGGGGCUCAACCUCGGAACUGCCUUUGAUACUGCAAGUCUCGAGUCCGGAAGAGGUGAGUGGAAUUCCUAGUGUAGAGGUGAAAUUCGUAGAUAUUAGGAAGAACACCAGUGGCGAAGGCGGCUCACUGGUCCGGUACUGACGCUGAGGUGCGAAAGCGUGGGGAGCAAACAGGG